Molecule: ribosomal RNA, 498 nt
Filed under: uncultured bacterium
Lineage: Bacteria
Description: partial 16S ribosomal RNA
Rfam family: Bacterial small subunit ribosomal RNA
Source: RNAcentral
GACGAACGCUGGCGGCGUGCCUAAUACAUGCAAGUCGAACGUGAGCGACCGGUGCUUGCACUGGUCAAUCUAGUGGCGAACGGGUGAGUAACACGUGGGUAACCUGCCCAUCAGUGGGGGAUAACAUCCGGAAACGGAUGCUAACACCGCAUAGGUCUUCGAGCCGCAUGGCUUGUAGAGGAAAAGAGGCGCAAGCUUCUGCUGUUGGAUGGACCCGCGGUGCAUUAGCUAGUUGGUGAGGUAACGGCUCACCAAGGCCGUGAUGCAUAGCCGACCUGAGAGGGUGAUCGGCCACAUUGGGACUGAGACACGGCCCAAACUCCUACGGGAGGCAGCAGUAGGGAAUCUUCCGCAAUGGACGCAAGUCUGACGGAGCAACGCCGCGUGAGUGAAGAAGGUUUUCGGAUCGUAAAACUCUGUUGUUAGAGAAGAACAAGUGCUAGAGUAACUGUUAGCGCCUUGACGGUAUCUAACCAGAAAGCCACGGCUAACUACGUG